This 164-nucleotide ribosomal RNA is filed under the name Canna indica (Indian-shot). Its description in RNAcentral is "5.8S ribosomal RNA". It matches the Rfam family "5.8S ribosomal RNA". Rfam says of the family: 5.8S ribosomal RNA (5.8S rRNA) is a component of the large subunit of the eukaryotic ribosome. It is transcribed by RNA polymerase I as part of the 45S precursor that also contains 18S and 28S rRNA. Functionally, it is thought that 5.8S rRNA may be involved in ribosome translocation. The record is from RNAcentral. Lineage: Eukaryota; Viridiplantae; Streptophyta; Magnoliopsida; Zingiberales; Cannaceae.
CAAACGACUCUCGGCAACGGAUAUCUCGGCUCUCGCAUCGAUGAAGAACGUAGCGAAAUGCGAUACCUGGUGUGAAUUGCAAAAUCCCACGAACCAUCGAGUCUUUGAACGCAAGUUGCGCCCGAGGCCUUCGGGCCGAGGGCACGCCUGCCUGGGCGUCACGC